AGCAGCCGCGGUAAUUCCAGCUCCAAUAGCGUAUAUUAAAGUUGUUGCAGUUAAAAAGCUCGUAGUUGAAUUUCGGGAUCAAUGUUUCGGUCAUGCCCUUGGUAUGUACUGAUAUUAUUGGUUUCUCACCUUCUAAAGAACCGUAGUGCCAUUAAUUUGGUGUCACGGGGAAUUAGGACUGUUACCUUGAAAAAAUUAGAGUGUUUAAAGCAGGCCCACGCUUGAAUACAUUAGCAUGGAAUAAUGAAAUAGGACAUCCGAUUCUAUUUUGUUGGUUUCUAGGAUCGAUGUAAUGAUUAAUAGGGAUAGUUGGGGGCAUUAGUAUUCAAUUGUCAGAGGUGAAAUUCUUGGAUUUAUUGAAGACUAACUACUGCGAAAGCAUUUGUCAAGGAUGUUUUCAUUAAUCAAGAACGAAAGUUAGGGGAUCGAAGACGAUCAGAUACCGUCGUAGUCUUAACCAUAAACUAUGCCGACUAGGGAUCGGAUGAUGUUAAUUUUUUAAUGACUCA
RNAcentral lists this ribosomal RNA (509 nucleotides) under uncultured glomeraceous AM fungus. RNAcentral describes it as "SSU rRNA". It matches the Rfam family "Eukaryotic small subunit ribosomal RNA", at positions 569 to 1078 of the family's 1831-position model. The record is from RNAcentral. Lineage: Eukaryota; Fungi; Glomeromycota; Glomeromycetes; Glomerales; Glomeraceae.